AUGAGACGGCGCACUUCGACAAGAUCAUGGUGCGGCUCAAGAAGCUCAGCUGGGCUCAGCCAGGAGCACUGCGACCCCGUGUUCGUCACGCAGAAGGUCUGCGUCAGGGUAUACAUGGGCAUCACCACCAGCCAGCUCGACGAGCUCGCCGCCGAGACCGCCGCCGCGCUCACCGCCUCCCAGCCUGACUAUGCCUCCGUACCUUCCCUCUUUCGAUAUGUCUCUCCCCUUCUGCUCGUGGCGAGGAUUGCUGUGUCCAACCUGCCGCCAAGUGGAAAUAGUCUGUGUGGCGCUCGUAAAUAG
RNAcentral lists this ribosomal RNA (303 nucleotides) under Triticum aestivum (bread wheat). RNAcentral describes it as "partial small subunit ribosomal RNA". Lineage: Eukaryota; Viridiplantae; Streptophyta; Magnoliopsida; Poales; Poaceae. The record is from RNAcentral.